Molecule: long non-coding RNA, 257 nt
Filed under: Elaeis guineensis (African oil palm)
Lineage: Eukaryota; Viridiplantae; Streptophyta; Magnoliopsida; Arecales; Arecaceae
Description: long non-coding RNA (EGUI_LNC032900)
Source: RNAcentral
GCUAACUAUUUAAGGGGGUGUGCCGGGGGUUUUGUUUCAUUCAGAUCUCUCACUCUUAUCUCUUCUUUCUUAUAUACUCUUCCUAUUGUCCAAUUAAUCUCUUUCUUCUUUUGUUAGGAUAAGUUCAAAAAUAGUAAGGAUAAGUCCGAUUUUAGGACAAGAGCCUAGGAAGAGAAUUAAGAAAGACAAGACAAAAAGAAAGAUAGGGAUAGGAAGGCUAGGAGGAGAGGAAGAAGGUCUUGAGGUCUUGGUGCCUA